RNAcentral lists this long non-coding RNA (273 nucleotides) under Lathyrus oleraceus (garden pea). Its description in RNAcentral is "Pisum sativum (pea) long non-coding RNA (PSAT_LNC038132)". Lineage: Eukaryota; Viridiplantae; Streptophyta; Magnoliopsida; Fabales; Fabaceae. The record is from RNAcentral.
UGAUUUUGAAAAAUGUACUUGAUGUUGAUCAAGCACCUUUGAAUUUAGUAUUUUUGAAAGAUUAAUUUUAAUAUUCAUUUUGUCUUUUUGGAUUAACAAUUAUGCAUCAACUAAAAAUACAAUAAAAUAAACUAAAAAAUAAAACAAUAAAAAGGUGAAAGAAAUAAUAAAUGGGAUGGGACACACUAUCAACGCAAGAGGUAAAAGAAUUUAAAAAACUAAAUAAAAUAAAACAAAAAACAAAAAUAAAUAGAUAAAGCAAUAAGAAGAAAA